GAUGAACGCUGGCGGCGUGCCUAAUACAUGCAAGUCGAGCGAACGGACGAGAAGCUUGCUUUUCUGAUGUUAGCGGCGGACGGGUGAGUAACACGUGGAUAACCUACCUAUAAGACUGGGAUAACUUCGGGAAACCGGAGCUAAUACCGGAUAAUAUUUUGAACCGCAUGGUUCAAAAGUGAAAGACGGUCUUGCUGUCACUUAUAGAUGGAUCCGCGCUGCAUUGGCUAGUUGGUAAGGUAACGGCUUACCAAGGCAACGAUGCAUAGCCGACCUGAGAGGGUGAUCGGCCAAACUGGAACUGAGACACGGUCCAGACUCCUACGGGAGGCAGCAGUAGGGAAUCUUCCGCAAUGGGCGAAAGCCUGACGGAGCAACGCCGCGUGAGUGAUGAAGGUCUUCGGAUCGUAAAACUCUGUUAUUGGGGAAGAACAUAUGUGUAAGUAACUGUGCACAUCUUGACGGUACCUAAUCAGAAAGCCACGGCUAACUACGUG
Molecule: ribosomal RNA, 497 nt
Filed under: uncultured bacterium
Lineage: Bacteria
Description: partial 16S ribosomal RNA
Rfam family: Bacterial small subunit ribosomal RNA
Source: RNAcentral